Molecule: ribosomal RNA, 216 nt
Filed under: Glomeromycotina sp.
Lineage: Eukaryota; Fungi; Glomeromycota
Description: partial small subunit ribosomal RNA
Rfam family: Eukaryotic small subunit ribosomal RNA (bases 40-216)
Source: RNAcentral
GGGUCAGUAGGUUGGUCGUGCCACCGGUACGUACUGGUCUCACUGAUUCUUCCUUCCUGAAGAACCGUAAUGCCAUUAAUCUGGUGUUGCGGGGAAACAGGACUGUUACUUUGAAAAAAUUAGAGUGUUUAAAGCAAGCUAACGCUUGAAUACAUUAGCAUGGAAUAAUGAAAUAGGACGAUCGAUCCUAUUUUGUUGGUUUCUAGGAUUGACGUA